UCAGACCUUGGGACGAGACCUACCGUGGCCAAGCGGGUUGGGACGCGGGCGGCAGGGGCUACUACUUCGCAUCCGGAAGACCAGACGCCGGCGCAGCUGGUGCUUGGGGCAGACCGCAAUAUAGCAGCAGACCUGAAGUAAGCAAUGGAUGGCAGAACGUCUACCGCGAUCCUUAUGCUAGCGGCGGCGGUGGCGGUGGCUACGCACCAGAUACAGGCUACGGUGGCUACCGGCAGGACUCAGGAGCCAGCUACGGCCGGCCUAGUGGCUGGCACAGUGUGAGCGCACGGCCUUAUAGAGACCAGAGCGGAGUAAACUCCUUGGACACCAGACCAGCUUACAACCAGCCAUCCCGCACCCAAUCCAGCGCUUACGGGCAGGAUAAUCGUGGCCAAUCC
This is a long non-coding RNA of Cydia amplana, 398 nucleotides long. RefSeq lists it as uncharacterized. NCBI's taxonomy places the organism in Eukaryota, Metazoa, Arthropoda, Insecta, Lepidoptera, Tortricidae. The record is from RefSeq and is a predicted model, not a curated record. The transcript is spliced from 3 exons.